CGCGUAGGUAACCUGCCUGGUAGCGGGGGGUAACUAUUGGAAACGAUAGCUAAUACCGCAUAAGAACAUUUACUGCAUGGUAGAUGUUUAAAAGGUGCAAAUGCAUCACUACCAGAUGGACCUGCGUUGUAUUAGCUAGUAGGUGAGGUAACGGCUCACCUAGGCGACGAUACAUAGCCGACCUGAGAGGGUGAUCGGCCACACUGGGACUGAGACACGGCCCAG
This 225-nucleotide ribosomal RNA is filed under the name uncultured bacterium. Its description in RNAcentral is "partial 16S ribosomal RNA". It matches the Rfam family "Bacterial small subunit ribosomal RNA", at positions 114 to 334 of the family's 1533-position model. The record is from RNAcentral.